Phragmites australis (common reed) is the source of this 749-nucleotide long non-coding RNA. RefSeq lists it as uncharacterized. The record is from RefSeq and is a predicted model, not a curated record. Lineage: Eukaryota; Viridiplantae; Streptophyta; Magnoliopsida; Poales; Poaceae. The transcript is spliced from 3 exons.
CGGUUUCGUCCAGUUACAGGAGUGGCGCGCGACGAUCUCGCGAAAGGCAAGGAAGAUUCUUGCACGAGGGUUGAGGCCCCAAACUGGAACGAGUGAACGACAUUCUGGUAGCGCGCAAUGUGUUCGAUGAAAUGCCUCAUACACCAGAGGUUUCUUUUUGUGAAAUUUUAAAGCUCACAGAUUCAAUCUGGUUUCUCGGCGUGGUGGUAGUGUGGUACAGAAGAUAUAUUUGACAAGCAACUUUGCCCUGGUGCCUGGUGACGAAUUCUUCAGCGAAUGCGAGCGAUAAACUGAAGCUGUAGGUACUCUAUUUUCUGAAAAGUAGCAACAAUGAUGGUCGAUUUUUUCAUCAGUUUUGUCUGAAAUUGGUUGCAUUAUGUUUGCUAAGUCGCCAUUGAUGUUCACAUUGCCUUUAGGCUGAGGUUUCAGUUUGACCAGAGUUUUCGAUGUUCCUGACUUCUUAUUAUCUUGCAUGCCAACUUCUUCAUGCUGAAUGAUUCAUGUUUCCGAAGCAUCUUCAAGAAAAAAAAUAAUUGGGAAAUUUGCCUCAGUAGCACUCUUGGUGAAGAGGUUUGCUAACAUACCAUUCCAGCCAACUACCACAGCUCCUGCUCACCCUGUAGCCAACUGCCGCAGCUCGCCUUGCCACCCGACCGCCGCAGCUCCCCUUCCACCCGACGACGGCCACAGCUCCCCUUGAGUUCGACUGUCGCCACCAUCAUCACAGCUGUCGGGGACGGCGGCUCCCA